Molecule: unclassified non-coding RNA, 133 nt
Filed under: soil metagenome
Description: partial internal transcribed spacer 1
Source: RNAcentral
CCGAGUUAUCCAACUCCCAACCCCUGUGAAUUAUACCUUUAAUUGUUGCUUCGGCGGGACUUCGCGCCCGCCGGGGACCCAAACUUCUGAAUUUUUUAAUAAGUAUCUUCUGAGUGGUUAAAAAAAUGAAUCA